GACGAACGCUGGCGGCGUGCUUAACACAUGCAAGUCGAACGGUGAUGCUCCAGCUUGCUGGAGUGGAUCAGUGGCGAACGGGUGAGUAACACGUGAGCAACCUGCCCCAGACUCUGGAAUAAGCGCUGGAAACGGCGUCUAAUACUGGAUACGAAACUGGCCCGCAUGGGCAUGGUUUGGAAAGUUUUUCGGUUUGGGAUGGGCUCGCGGCCUAUCAGCUUGUUGGUGAGGUAAUGGCUCACCAAGGCGACGACGGGUAGCCGGCCUGAGAGGGCGACCGGCCACACUGGGACUGAGACACGGCCCAGACUCCUACGGGAGGCAGCAGUGGGGAAUAUUGCACAAUGGGCGAAAGCCUGAUGCAGCGACGCCGCGUGAGGGAUGACGGCCUUCGGGUUGUAAACCUCUUGCAGCAGGGAAGAAGCGAAAGUGACGGUACCUGCAGAAGAAGCACCGGCUAACUACGUG
Molecule: ribosomal RNA, 468 nt
Filed under: uncultured bacterium
Lineage: Bacteria
Description: partial 16S ribosomal RNA
Rfam family: Bacterial small subunit ribosomal RNA
Source: RNAcentral